GGUAGUUUUCUUUUUGCAAAAUUAUAGCAAUAAUUCUACUAAUCCUGCUAAUAUUUCUGUCUAGAUGAAACCAUGGUGCUAAACUAUGGGGUCAGUCAUAGAGACCAGCUGUCUAAACUCUAAAGCAUUAGUUGUAGAAAAGAGGAUAAAAUUUAGCUUGUUCUGGGGCAUUUGUUUGGAUAGAGUUCAUCUCGGCCAUGGAAUUGACAUCUAGGUUCUCCGAUUUUUAUAGAUAGGUACGUAUUUGAAGAUGUGUUGGGUUCCUCGAUGGCCCCUUCCCAUUAUUUCCAUUUUCCCCUCAAUGCGAAUCAGUUCCCAUUUCCAUCGACCACUUGUGGAAUGUGAUUAUUAUUGUCAUUAUUAUUAUUUAAGUUUCUUUUAAGUAAACACAACCUUUCAUUGACAUAAUCUAAAGAGUCUGAAGUACAAAAUCCAAUAAAAAAAA
This is a long non-coding RNA of Cucumis sativus (cucumber), 445 nucleotides long. RefSeq lists it as uncharacterized. Lineage: Eukaryota; Viridiplantae; Streptophyta; Magnoliopsida; Cucurbitales; Cucurbitaceae. The record is from RefSeq and is a predicted model, not a curated record. The transcript has 2 exons.